GAAUAUGAAGGUAUUAUAUCUGUGAUAUCUAUCAGUGUACUGAUCACUGGAGUUGAUUCAGCUGAUCUAGCUGGCUAAGCAUGUGUCCCUGUUCUCUGGCAUCAUUACAUGUUGUCCCCCCAAAAGCUUUGGGUUUAAUCAAAGAAGACAAUCUUCCCUGAUCAAAAAGUACAAUUAUUCUGCCAAGGAUAUACAAGUAGAUAUGUUUUCCUGCUAGAGCCUCCAAGUAGGCUCCUUCAAAUGAGAAAGGACCAUAUAAAUGAAUAACAAUCAGUGAAUAAAACCUAUAUAUUAUCAUAAUUUUAU
This 306-nucleotide small nuclear RNA is filed under the name Nannospalax galili (Upper Galilee mountains blind mole rat). Its description in RNAcentral is "7SK RNA (ENSNGAG00000008496.1)". It matches the Rfam family "7SK RNA". From Rfam's summary of the family: 7SK was discovered as an abundant small nuclear RNA in the mid-70s but a possible function has only recently been suggested. Two independent studies have found that 7SK RNA binds the CDK9/cyclin T complex (known as elongation factor P-TEFb). Lineage: Eukaryota; Metazoa; Chordata; Mammalia; Rodentia; Spalacidae. The record is from Rfam by way of RNAcentral.